Molecule: ribosomal RNA, 22 nt
Filed under: Pseudoxytenanthera monadelpha
Lineage: Eukaryota; Viridiplantae; Streptophyta; Magnoliopsida; Poales; Poaceae
Description: partial 28S ribosomal RNA
Source: RNAcentral
GACCCCAAGGUCAGGGAGGGCC